RNAcentral lists this ribosomal RNA (242 nucleotides) under uncultured Staphylococcus sp. RNAcentral's name for it is "partial 16S ribosomal RNA". It matches the Rfam family "Bacterial small subunit ribosomal RNA", at positions 99 to 334 of the family's 1533-position model. The record is from RNAcentral. Lineage: Bacteria; Bacillati; Bacillota; Bacilli; Caryophanales; Staphylococcaceae.
CGGACGGGUGAGUAACACGUGGAUAACCUACCUAUAAGACUGGGAUAACUUCGGGAAACCGGAGCUAAUACCGGUAUAAUAUUUUGAACCGCAUGGUUCAAAAGUGAAAGACGGUCUUGCUGUCACUUAUAGAUGGAUCCGCGCUGCAUUAGCUAGUUGGUAAGGUAACGGCUUACCAAGGCAACGAUGCAUAGCCGACCUGAGAGGGUGAUCGGCCACACUGGAACUGAGACACGGUCCAG